GACGACGCUGGCGGCGUGCUUAACACAUGCAAGUCGAACGGUGACGAGGAGCUUGCUCCUCUGAUCAGUGGCGAACGGGUGAGUAACACGUGAGCAACCUGCCCCAGACUCUGGGAUAACAGUUGGAAACAGCUGCUAAUACCGGAUACGAGACGGAGAGGCAUCUCUACCGUCUGGAAAGUUUUCGGUUCUGGGAUGGACUCGCGGCCUAUCAGCUAGUUGGUGAGGUAAUGGCUCACCAAGGCGACGACGGGUAGCCGGCCUGAGAGGGCGACCGGCCACACUGGGACGUGAGACACGGCCCAGACUCCUACGGGAGGCAGCAGUGGGGAAUAUUGCACAAUGGGCGAAAGCCUGAUGCAGCGACGCCGCGUGAGGGAUGACGGCCUUCGGGUUGUAAACCUCUUUCAGCAGGGAAGAAGCGAAAGUGACGGUACCUGCAGAAGAAGCACCGGCUAACUACGUG
This 466-nucleotide ribosomal RNA is filed under the name uncultured bacterium. Its description in RNAcentral is "bacterial SSU rRNA". It matches the Rfam family "Bacterial small subunit ribosomal RNA", at positions 33 to 507 of the family's 1533-position model. The record is from RNAcentral.